Molecule: long non-coding RNA, 284 nt
Filed under: Homo sapiens (human)
Lineage: Eukaryota; Metazoa; Chordata; Mammalia; Primates; Hominidae
Description: HSALNT0312278
Source: RNAcentral
CUGUUUUUAUAAGAAUGCUAAGGAGCUGAAGCUGAGACCUAAAAGCUAAGCAGGAGUGCUCUGGGCAGAGGGAAUGAUGAACACAUUGAGUUUCUGUGAUGGCCUGGUAGCCUUUGGACAUCAGACUUGUCUGUUUUCUGCUCUAGAAUUGGCCUGCUCUGUGACUUCAGGAUUGGGUUGUUUGCCUUUGUCCCUGUCUGACCAUGGGAACAUGACUGGGCUAGCUGGCUGGAGGGAUAGGAGAGAGACAUGGACCAGAAUGGCCUAGUUUUGUCUAGCUGACC